AACAAGGUGACUAGCCAUCGGCCAGG
RNAcentral lists this non-coding RNA (26 nucleotides) under Mus musculus (house mouse). Lineage: Eukaryota; Metazoa; Chordata; Mammalia; Rodentia; Muridae. The record is from RNAcentral.